This 1370-nucleotide long non-coding RNA is filed under the name Anas platyrhynchos platyrhynchos (common mallard). Its description in RNAcentral is "lncRNA (ENSAPLG00000017988.1)". The record is from RNAcentral. Lineage: Eukaryota; Metazoa; Chordata; Aves; Anseriformes; Anatidae.
UUUGGAACAUUUUAAUAAAGUGGAUUAAGAACUCGGACACAAAAAGUAACCUGUUUCCCUGUGACGGGUGCUUUAAUCUUCUCCCUGAGCUGCUGACAAAGGCUUUCCUUAAAGAAACCUCCUGAACACAAAAGGGAGAAUAAAAGAAUGGGAGAACAGACUGAGAGGUGCAAGAUGUUUAAAAGCACCCAAAAAAAUGAAGCCGCUUGGGUGUUAAUUGUAUUCUCUUUUCCCAGAGCCUGUUUUCCUCUUUCGCUUCCGAUUUUGGAUCAAUGCUAGAGGCUGCAAAGCUAACCCAAGGAAGGAAAAAGCCUUUGAUUAGACAAUCUGAGUGGUAAAAAAGGUAUUGAACAGAAAGUGCAGUCAAUGAGCUGCUCAAUACAACAAUUAGAAGGUGAAACUUUUUCUUUCCCUUUCGAAGCAAGACACACCUCUGCUCUGCUGGAAGGAGCCUAUGAAACUAUCUGGCAUUUAAAGGGACACUCCCGGUGUUUUCAGCAACAAGAUUUCCAUGACAAUAAAUUAAUAAACUAAUAAAGAAAUAUAGAAAAAUGUUAUCUUUGCAAGUGUUCCUGGAGUAUUUCUAAUUAAAGAAUCUUUCCAGCAUUGCUGGCAAUAUAAAUGGUUAUACAAUUGAAGUUUUGCCCAGAUGGGGAACCCCACUGUUCCAUGGACAUGACGUGGGAAUUAAAUCUCAGUUGAUUGGUUUGACAUGCCAACACGGUAAGUUCAUUUCUUUUCUUCCUGUCUCAAUGGUCAGAAUUAUUAUUGUAAGACUAGAGACUUAUUUAUAUGUUUGCUUGUUUCCCCUUCCCCCACUAGGGUAUUUUCAAGCUUGGGAGCAUCUCAAGGUGUUGUGGGUGGUUCAACAGAUGACUCUGGCCAACAGCCAGUGUCACUUGGCAAGAAGGCCACAACGUGUGCCCUCGGGGACUUUGCAGACUUGUAACUUUGCAAGUCCUGCAGUGACGAGAGUUGUGUCAGUCUCUUGGGCUUCGUUUGGAGCUGAAUUUGGUUCAAGAACAUGGUGUCUCCUUCAGUCUGGACCAUGUCUACUGCAAUCCAAGACAGAGCCCGAGCUGCAUUUGCUGUGGUUCUGCCAGGGACAAAAGGUGCCAUCACAGGCUCUCUCUGAACAUGGGCAAGCAGAAGAUCUCACAGCAGGAGGGGAACUGAGGCGUUUCUGCAUCUCUCUCCCUCACAGCUUCAGAUACAUCUACAGCCAUUUAUAGACAGAGAUCAUGGUUGCCGAAUGAAAGGUUGGAAAAACGAGACGCCCAAGGCAACCCUACCUCAGUGACAGUGCCUCUGGACUACGAGGGGGAGCCUAAAAUCAAAUUUCUGCAGGGAACUUUCUUCAGUUUUCUAAG